Molecule: ribosomal RNA, 1103 nt
Filed under: Yersinia pseudotuberculosis
Lineage: Bacteria; Pseudomonadati; Pseudomonadota; Gammaproteobacteria; Enterobacterales; Yersiniaceae
Description: bacterial SSU rRNA
Rfam family: Bacterial small subunit ribosomal RNA
Source: RNAcentral
AGAGUUUGAUCAUGGCUCAGAUUGAACGCUGGCGGCAGGCCUAACACAUGCAAGUCGAGCGGCAGCGGGAAGUAGUUUACUACUUUGCCGGCGAGCGGCGGACGGGUGAGUAAUGUCUGGGGAUCUGCCUGAUGGAGGGGGAUAACUACUGGAAACGGUAGCUAAUACCGCAUGACCUCGCAAGAGCAAAGUGGGGGACCUUAGGGCCUCACGCCAUCGGAUGAACCCAGAUGGGAUUAGCUAGUAGGUGGGGUAAUGGCUCACCUAGGCGACGAUCCCUAGCUGGUCUGAGAGGAUGACCAGCCACACUGGAACUGAGACACGGUCCAGACUCCUACGGGAGGCAGCAGUGGGGAAUAUUGCACAAUGGGCGCAAGCCUGAUGCAGCCAUGCCGCGUGUGUGAAGAAGGCCUUCGGGUUGUAAAGCACUUUCAGCGAGGAGGAAGGGGUUGAGUUUAAUACGCUCAAUCAUUGACGUUACUCGCAGAAGAAGCACCGGCUAACUCCGUGCCAGCAGCCGCGGUAAUACGGAGGGUGCAAGCGUUAAUCGGAAUUACUGGGCGUAAAGCGCACGCAGGCGGUUUGUUAAGUCAGAUGUGAAAUCCCCGCGCUUAACGUGGGAACUGCAUUUGAAACUGGCAAGCUAGAGUCUUGUAGAGGGGGGUAGAAUUCCAGGUGUAGCGGUGAAAUGCGUAGAGAUCUGGAGGAAUACCGGUGGCGAAGGCGGCCCCCUGGACAAAGACUGACGCUCAGGUGCGAAAGCGUGGGGAGCAAACAGGAUUAGAUACCCUGGUAGUCCACGCUGUAAACGAUGUCGACUUGGAGGUUGUGCCCUUGAGGCGUGGCUUCCGGAGCUAACGCGUUAAGUCGACCGCCUGGGGAGUACGGCCGCAAGGUUAAAACUCAAAUGAAUUGACGGGGGCCCGCACAAGCGGUGGAGCAUGUGGUUUAAUUCGAUGCAACGCGAAGAACCUUACCUACUCUUGACAUCCACGGAAUUUAGCAGAGAUGCUUUAGUGCCUUCGGGAACCGUGAGACAGGUGCUGCAUGGCUGUCGUCAGCUCGUGUUGUGAAAUGUUGGGUUAAGUCCCGCAACGAGCGCA